GCCCGCACAAGCGGUGGAGCAUGUGGUUUAAUUCGAUGCAACGCGAAGAACCUUACCUACUCUUGACAUCCAGAGAACUUAGCAGAGAUGCUUUGGUGCCUUCGGGAACUCUGAGACAGGUGCUGCAUGGCUGUCGUCAGCUCGUGUUGUGAAAUGUUGGGUUAAGUCCCGCAACGAGCGCAACCCUUAUCCUUUGUUGCCAGCGAUUCGGUCGGGAACUCAAAGGAGACUGCCGGUGAUAAACCGGAGGAAGGUGGGGAUGACGUCAAGUCAUCAUGGCCCUUACGAGUAGGGCUACACACGUGCUACAAUGGCGUAUACAAAGAGAAGUGACCUCGCGAGAGCAAGCGGAACUCAUAAAGUACGUCGUAGUCCGGAUUGGAGUCUGCAACUCGACUCCAUGAAGUCGGAAUCGCUAGUAAUCGUAGAUCAGAAUGCUACGGUGAAUACGUUCCCGGGCCUUGUACACACCGCCCGUCACACCAUGGGAGUGGGUUGCAAAAGAAGUAGGUAGCUUAACCUUCGGGAGGGCGCUUACCACUUUGUGAUUCAUGA
RNAcentral lists this ribosomal RNA (555 nucleotides) under uncultured bacterium. RNAcentral describes it as "bacterial SSU rRNA". It matches the Rfam family "Bacterial small subunit ribosomal RNA", at positions 919 to 1474 of the family's 1533-position model. The record is from RNAcentral.